RNAcentral lists this small RNA (27 nucleotides) under Bombyx mori (domestic silkworm). RNAcentral's name for it is "ovarian small RNA-28371". The record is from RNAcentral. Lineage: Eukaryota; Metazoa; Arthropoda; Insecta; Lepidoptera; Bombycidae.
UCGAGAUUUUGGCAGCGGUGUCCGUGA